CGAUGCUCGAUUUCCAAGAACAGAAUGGAAUUCUUCGAAAGGGAUGGGCCGCGGCGUUCGUACUGCGCGCCGCGAUUUGGCCGCUGGAUUUGACCACUUUUUGGCAAACCGACGUCCUCUCGGUCGGCGGGGGUGCGCGUGAAAUUUUGCUCGCGGCACGCUCCACAGUCUUCGACUUGCGACUCGAUCGAAUCGAGAUUUCGAUCCUGGAAACCUUGUCGCUCUGCAGACCCGAGAUCGCCGAAACGACCAACGGCUUCCGGCUCGCGUCGAAAGCGACGGACUCUGCGCUGGAAACGCUUGUUCGACAUCUCGCCGCGCGAACGUCCUCGCUCGCCGAGCGAUCUCGCAGGCUGGCCAAAAUCAUGUUGCUGCUACCCGUUCUGACGGCUUGCUGUCCCAGACGUUUAGCCACGGAUCUCUUCGCGCCUAUCAUCGGACGCGUCGAUUUCGAAAAAGUGAUAGCGGCUGUGCGCUGAUCGAGAUCCACCGUUCCAACGACGAUCGAACGAGGAACAAAAGGUUUCGAUGAGGAAGGAAAGAAACUCGAUUUUUAUUUUCUUUGGCACUUUAUUGACGCAAGUGAUAUGUACAAUUACUUAAAGUAAUAUGGCGCAUCGGUAUAAAAUAGAGCCGUAGCAACUCGUGGCACGCGAGCUAGUCGAAAAUUUCGAUCCGAACGCGCCGAUCGUCUUUCGGUUAUUGUCGAUAAACGUCGGUAACGAAGGGUAGAAUUUGUGAGCGAUACGACGCUUGUAAGAGCGUGUUUGUCCGACGACCGGAUCCCCGAACGAGAUUCUCGGCUAUCUCGACGAGAGUACUCUUUACGGCUCUAUAGCACGUAGAAAACGAUGAGAAAGCAUCGA
Megachile rotundata (alfalfa leafcutting bee) is the source of this 866-nucleotide long non-coding RNA. The record is from RefSeq and is a predicted model, not a curated record. Lineage: Eukaryota; Metazoa; Arthropoda; Insecta; Hymenoptera; Megachilidae.